UUCCGGUUGAUCCUGCCGGACCUGACUGCUAUCGGAUUGAUACUAAGCCAUGCGAGUCUUUGUAGUAAUACAAGGCAGACGGCUCAGUAACACGUAGUCAAUCUACCCUAUGGACGGGGAUAACCUCGGGAAACUGAGAAUAAUACCCGACAGAUCAUAAUGCCUGGAAUGGUUUAUGGUUCAAAUGAUUUUUCGCCGUAGGAUGGGACUGCGGUCUAUCAGCUUGUUGGUGAGGUAAUGGCCCACCAAGGCUAUAACAGAUACGGGCUCUGAGAGGAGAAGCCCGGAGAUGGGUACUGAGACACGGACCCAGGCCCUAUGGGGCGCAGCAGGCGAGAAAACUUUGCAAUGUGCGAAAGCACGACAAGGUUAAUCCGAGUGUUUUCUGCUAAAGAAAUCUUUUGUUAGUUCUAAAACCACUAUCGAAUAAGGGGUGGGCAAGUUCUGGUGUCAGCCGCCGCGGUAAAACCAGCACCUCAAGUGGUCAGGAGGAUUAUUGGGCCUAAAGCAUCCGUAGCCGGCUAUGUUAGUUUUCGGUUAAAUCCAUGUGCUCAACAUAUGGGCUGUCGAGAAUACUGCAUAGCUAGGGAGUGGGAGAGGUAGACGGUACUCGAUAGGAAGGGGUAAAAUCCUUUGAUCUAUUGAUGACCACCAGUGGCGAAGGCGGUCUACCAGAACACGUCCGACGGUGAGGGAUGAAAGCUGGGGGAGCAAACCGGAUUAGAUACCCGGGUAGUCCCAGCUGUAAACUAUGCAAACUCAGUGAUGCAUUGGCUUGUGGCCAGUGCAGUGCCGCAGAGAAGUCGUUAAGUUUGCCGCCUGGGAAGUACGUACGCAAGUAUGAAACUUAAAGGAAUUGGCGGGGGAGCACCACAAGGGGUGAAGCCUGCGGUUCAAUUGGAGUCAACGCCGGGA
RNAcentral lists this ribosomal RNA (915 nucleotides) under uncultured crenarchaeote. RNAcentral describes it as "bacterial SSU rRNA". It matches the Rfam family "Archaeal small subunit ribosomal RNA", at positions 1 to 923 of the family's 1478-position model. Lineage: Archaea; Thermoproteati; Thermoproteota. The record is from RNAcentral.